This 181-nucleotide non-coding RNA is filed under the name Alkalihalophilus pseudofirmus. RNAcentral's name for it is "Bacillus pseudofirmus 6S RNA". It matches the Rfam family "6S / SsrS RNA". Rfam says of the family: E. coli 6S RNA was the first non coding RNA to be sequenced, but its function was unknown until recently. It consists of 184 nucleotides that fold into an extended hairpin structure with a large single-stranded internal bulge. The 6S RNA specifically associates with RNA polymerase holoenzyme containing the sigma70 specificity factor. The record is from RNAcentral. Lineage: Bacteria; Bacillati; Bacillota; Bacilli; Caryophanales; Bacillaceae.
CUAGCCCUGCGAUGUUAGUACUUCAUAUUGUCUUAAACCGAUACUGAUUUUUUGGGAGUUCAACAUUCUAAUCCUGACAACAAGCCCUGCAAGCUGGGGGAAGUUGGAUCGUUUAGAGAGGACACCCACCUACGAGAGUAGGUUUUUAAGACACUAGGAGGUACGGCAGAGUGGGACACCA